GUUCAUUCGGAUCUAUAUAAAAGGCACUACCCAGUAAUUCAGACCACUUUCUUUCCUGUUCCCUCUAAACCCUGGCCGACAACUUCAUCGUAUUCUUUGUUCUUCUUUGCUAAUCUGCCCUCUCAAUUCGAAGAUGAAGAUGAGCAUCAGUCUUGAUGUAAACUCCAUGGCGUCCAGGCUAACAAGAGAUCUGGGCACUCCAAAUAAGUGAGACAGGCAAGAGUAAGACAGCCGCAAAUAUCUUUUUUCGUGCUCACAUGAAUUGGAACCUUUAGUUAUGUUUUUGGAUGAUAUUAUUUUUUUGUUUAAUUUUAUAGUUCAUUUUUAGUUUUGUAAAUCAUGAAGAAUAAGAGCCUUUUAACAGCUGCUUAAUAACCCAUUUUCUCAAGUGUUGUUGGUGCUGGUAUAUUUGCUUUAAGAAGUAUUGGUUAGAAAUUGGAAGGAUAUAUGCUCGGUUCUGAAAGACGCUGUCAAAGUUGGAGUAGGUGGGGAAGAAAAGUUGGGGGACAAAGCGCGGAUGGAGAGGGAAAAAAAUUCUUAGUCACUCAGUUUAUAAAUGAGGCGGCAAAUCGGAUCCGGAACAAGGUGGCGGCUGAAGAUUUUAGAUGGAACCUAUGAGUUCUAAAAGAGGUCCUUUUCUUUAUCUGGAAGCUCGUGCAGGGCUGCAUCGCUGAAAAAAUUGUGCUUCUGCAGCGUGGGGUUUCUAUUAUGUUAACGAGAGUUUUGCCUAUUGAGGAGAGACUCGGAACUUUGGAAGUGAUGGGUUCAAAAGCAUCUCAGCUCAUAUAAAAGAUAUUACAUCCAGUUAUGAAGCAGUUUGCUCCAGAAGAUGGUUUGGUUUCUUUGAUGGUUUGCUCUAGAUCUUGUGAUAACGAGUUUAAUUUGUUACAUCCUAUGGAUAUUGUUGGCAAAACGAAAGAGCAUACUUCUCUCCUGAAAGGGUCACCGUGGUUUCCAUAUGCACCCAAUAACAAAUUCAAUUUGGCAGGUGGCAGGAUACUGAGUUUCCUGUGACAUAAAGAGACCGUCUAGGUCUUCGAAGAAGAGCAAAACAAUUUACUUAAACAUAUGGAGAAAAGAGACACGAAAUAUAUGCGCCUUCAGAGGCAUAAAAUGGGUGCCGAUGAUUUUGAGCCAUUAACAAUGAUAGGAAAAAGGUCCAUUUGGAGAGGUUAGAAUAUGUAGGGAGAAGACUACCGGCAAUGUGUAUGCAAUGAAAAAA
This 1222-nucleotide long non-coding RNA is filed under the name Helianthus annuus (common sunflower). Its description in RNAcentral is "hypothetical non coding rna". Lineage: Eukaryota; Viridiplantae; Streptophyta; Magnoliopsida; Asterales; Asteraceae. The record is from RNAcentral.